UAAGUUCCUUGGAACAGGACGUCAUAGAGGGUGAGAAUCCCGUAUGUGACUGGACAGGCACCCUUUGUAAAGCUCCUUCGACGAGUCGAGUUGUUUGGGAAUGCAGCUCUAAAUGGGAGGUAAAUUUCUUCUAAAGCUAAAUACCGGCCAGAGACCGAUAGCGCACAAGUAGAGUGAUCGAAAGAUGAAAAGCACUUUGGAAAGAGAGUUAAAAAGCACGUGAAAUUGUUGAAAGGGAAGGGCUUGCAAUUAGACUUGCCCGCAGUUGUUCAGCUGGUCUUCUGACCGGUUUAUUCUUCUGCGGGCAGGCCAGCAUCAGUUUCGGCGGCCGGAUAAAGGCUCUGGGAAUGUGGCUGUCCUUCGGGGCAGUGUUAUAGCCCAGGGUGUAAUACGGCCAGCCGGGACUGAGGUCCGCGCUUCGGCUAGGAUGCUGGCGUAAUGAUUGUAAGCCGCCCGUCUUGAAACACGGAC
Molecule: ribosomal RNA, 471 nt
Filed under: Aureobasidium sp.
Lineage: Eukaryota; Fungi; Ascomycota; Dothideomycetes; Dothideales; Saccotheciaceae
Description: partial large subunit ribosomal RNA
Rfam family: Eukaryotic large subunit ribosomal RNA
Source: RNAcentral